This 126-nucleotide small nucleolar RNA is filed under the name Caenorhabditis japonica. Its description in RNAcentral is "snoRNA CJA48454". It matches the Rfam family "Caenorhabditis snoRNA ceN48". Lineage: Eukaryota; Metazoa; Nematoda; Chromadorea; Rhabditida; Rhabditidae. The record is from Rfam by way of RNAcentral.
CCGCACGCAGAAAGUCGAGAUUGCCUGCUUCCAAAGGCACUUUCGUUGAUUACGUGUGCCAUAACAAUGCCAUAGGUAUCAUUCUUCGUCUUCUUAGUCGCGGAACAUCUAAAUAUGGCUAUAAAU